AGCAGAGUGGCGCAGCGGAAGCGUGCUGGGUCCGUAACCCAGAAGUCAAUGGAUCGAAACCAUCUUUUGCUA
RNAcentral lists this transfer RNA (72 nucleotides) under Ameiurus melas (black bullhead). It matches the Rfam family "tRNA". Rfam says of the family: Transfer RNA (tRNA) molecules are approximately 80 nucleotides in length. Their secondary structure includes four short double-helical elements and three loops (D, anti-codon, and T loops). Further hydrogen bonds mediate the characteristic L-shaped molecular structure. tRNAs have two regions of fundamental functional importance: the anti-codon, which is responsible for specific mRNA codon recognition, and the 3' end, to which the tRNAs corresponding amino acid is attached (by aminoacyl-tRNA synthetases). tRNAs cope with the degeneracy of the genetic code in two manners: having more than one tRNA (with a specific anti-codon) for a particular amino acid; and 'wobble' base-pairing, i.e. permitting non-standard base-pairing at the 3rd anti-codon position. Lineage: Eukaryota; Metazoa; Chordata; Actinopteri; Siluriformes; Ictaluridae. The record is from Rfam by way of RNAcentral.